Molecule: ribosomal RNA, 252 nt
Filed under: uncultured bacterium
Lineage: Bacteria
Description: partial 16S ribosomal RNA
Rfam family: Bacterial small subunit ribosomal RNA
Source: RNAcentral
GACAGAGGGGGCAAGCGUUGCUCGGAAUUACUGGGCGUAAAGGGUGCGUAGGUGGUUUCUUAAGUCAGAGGUGAAAGGCUACGGCUCAACCGUAGUAAGCCUUUGAAACUGGGAAACUUGAGUGCAGGAGAGGAGAGUGGAAUUCCUAGUGUAGCGGUGAAAUGCGUAGAUAUUAGGAGGAACACCAGUUGCGAAGGCGGCUCUCUGGACUGUAACUGACACUGAGGCACGAAAGCGUGGGGAGCAAACAGG